UUAGUACAGUUCUGUAGAGUUAAAGCUAUUUGCCAGGUGAAUUGGAAUUCAAAAACAAUUGCAUUGAUUGCGUUUUCCACUGCCUUACUUUGCAGUGUGCAUAUCCAGGGUAUUCCCCAGAUGCCUUGAUAUUGAAGAGCAAAAUUGCCAUGUGAAAUGCUUCCAAGGCUAACACCUCUAUGCCCUCCUCACGAACAGAGACAACAUUUCCUGGUGUGCGAGGCCAUUCUUCCCGAAGGAAGAGAGGGCAGAAUGAGGCUUUUUGUGAGGUGCAUCUAAAUCUGCUCAUUUCUUUAAAGUAUCUUUACACUUAGUCAUAAAGCUCUACAUUUGCUAGCUGGUGAAAGGACAUGGUUAUUAUUCCUUUAUUUAUCGCAGCUUAAUCUAUUACCUUUUCUGCAGGCAGCAUACUAAGAAUUUCACUCCUUAUCAUUGUUUCUCAGCACUUAGUUUAGUUUAUUUUUAAUAUAAUUGCAUUGAUCGGUGAUCUUUGUCUCAGAUGAAGCGCUGCUCAGUAGUGAGGUCCUCAGCCCAAGACGCUGUUCUUUGCCUCCAGACGUGAAAGCAAUGGGUCUUUAACCUGGAAAGCAAUCUUAUUGUCCAAGAUGGUCUCUUGGGAACUGUUGAAGUUGUAUGGUAUAUAUAUCAGCUGCUAUAUUUUGUUCUCGUCCCUAAAUUCCUAUGCUUCAACCUGAAUCAGCUAAAGAUAGAGCUUGUGACACCUAUGUGGAAAACAUGGGAAGAAUUUCCAUUUUGCAGUGCAAAUGGACCUGCCACAACAAUCCAGUGAGGCUGGUAACUCAAGUAGCACUAAAGGAAAGCACAAGUCCUCAUCUGGUAAGAUGACAAUAUUUUCUACAAUUCAGUGUCCAAGAAUCACUUACUGUGGUUUUACUUCAUACAGUGUUUCUGAAAUCAUAC
RNAcentral lists this long non-coding RNA (921 nucleotides) under Anas platyrhynchos platyrhynchos (common mallard). RNAcentral describes it as "lncRNA (ENSAPLG00000022950.1)". Lineage: Eukaryota; Metazoa; Chordata; Aves; Anseriformes; Anatidae. The record is from RNAcentral.